RNAcentral lists this long non-coding RNA (1097 nucleotides) under Monodelphis domestica (gray short-tailed opossum). Its description in RNAcentral is "lncRNA (ENSMODG00000028559.2)". Lineage: Eukaryota; Metazoa; Chordata; Mammalia; Didelphimorphia; Didelphidae. The record is from RNAcentral.
AAAAAAAGUACUGUUGUAAAAUGGUCUUAUUUCACUCCACAUUCUAACUUCCACCAAGUGGUGAGGUCACAAUGUUCUGGUUGGGUAAUGGGAUGCUCUGAGAAAUACAACAGAAGCUCCAGGCAGAUCUGAGAGAAUGACCAGAUAAGUCCUAAUUUUCCCUAUGAAGUUCUUUCUGAUCAUUUUUUUAUUUGGACUUUCAGGGAUUAACAAAAAUUUCAGCACUUUAAUAGGUCUCCAUAGGAGAGAAACUCCAUUUUUAUCAAGAUACAAUGAAUACAGUAACAAAAGCACUGAAGAUAAUAGUGACAUUAACAACAACAAUGAUAAUGACGAUGACGACGAAGACGACGACGAUGAAGAUGACGAUGAUGACGAAAACAACGAUGAUGAUGAUGAUGACAAUGAUGAUGAUGAUGAUACUGAGGAAUAUAUAGCUCCAUUUGAAUUGUCAACUGAAGAAACUUCAGCUUCCUUUUCUACUGAAGUGAGUUCUACAUUAAAUGACAGUAUGCAGACCUUGCUAAAGUACUAUCCUAAGCAACACAUCCAACCAUCAGACAGAGAAGAUCUAAAGAUAAAAUUAAUGCUGGGUAUAGCAUUGUUGGCUCUCCUCCUUUUUCUAAUCCUCUUGUUUAUUAGUUGUUUUGCCUUCUAUCAAGGGCAGAAGGAAUGUCCUAAAAUAUAUAAACAACAAAACAAUGUUACCACCAAACCUGAACUAGCAGACCUGUCUUAUUUUCAACCAGCAGAAGGUAUAUCAGACACUUCCUUUUCUAACAGUCCAGCUAGUAGCACAGUCUGGAAGCCUGAAUAUAGAGAAAUAAAAAAAGAAACUUUCAGAACAAAGGAGGCAACUGCACUAUCACUUCUACAUGACGCUGAUGCACGAUGCAUGAAGCUAGUAUUUGGCAAUGAAGUACCAAGCAAAGAAUUGGAUCUAAGUAGUGUUGAGCCACACACCAUGGAGACGUCUUAUGAUGAGAUGUGUAGCAAGGAGAUGUCUAGUGAGGAGCUGGGGAGUUGCCCCAAAACUCAAGAUAGCUGAAAAUAGAACUUUUUUCAUAAAAAUAAAAAUGAUUUAUCUUGGUGAGCCA